GUUGGCCUUAUUAAAGAUGGACGUGGUCUGAGGCACAAAUACUACAAGGACUACAAGGACUACUUAGGUACCAGCUCGAGCAACGCAGUUCGCUAUGAAAAACAUCACCAAAAGCAUCUUGGAUGAAAUCAACCUGACCUCAGACUCAGCUACGACCAUAACUCAACCUCAGACAUCAGCCCAGUUCUGUUCAUUCAUCUUUCACCACACCUGAACCAGGAUCAGAUUUGACCGUUUUCCAUGGCCUACAGUUGCUACCUCCUCUUUGCAAAGCCCUGUAUUUCAGCCUGACCUCCACCUUUGGGAGAGAAGUCUGACAUAUCUACAAUACACAGCCAAAGAAAUAAGUGUUUUUCUUCUGUCUCUCUGCCUGGUGUUUGUUAAUGAAUGGAGUAGAAUAUGUUGGGUGUGCACCAAAGCUGUUCAUCAAAUGUCUCAAAAGGAACCAAUGCCAUGUUUUGUUUGUUUAUACCCUCCCUCUCCCUGCAACUCUUUCUUAUUCUUGAAAUCACACCCUCUAACUUUGAGGCUGGUCAGCAGAGAAAAUCUAAACCAUGCUUAUAUUUCUGUAUUUUUUUCAUAAGGACGGUGCUCAAAUGUCCUGAUCUAUAAUCUGGAACGUUUUAUAGACAAAUAGAACAACUUCCAGCUGCAGUGGUUCUCAUUGUUAAAUUAAAACCAAAUGUGUUUUAAUAUUCAGACUAAUUAAUCAGAAUGUGUCCAAUGACUGUGUGGAUUGUGUCAGUUUGAAAAUAUUUGGAAGAGCUGUAGAUAGUAAUGGCCAACAGAUGCUGACUGUUACUUCAAAAUAAGAUACAAUUGUUUCGUCUGUAAUGUGAUACUGAAAGGUAGAUUAGGGGUUGAUUUUGCCUUCAAAAUAAAACUGGAUGUUUCAUAUCUUUGAUUAAUGUCGUGAAAUUAAUUUAAUGCAGUUAGAUUGUUGGAACAUCUUAUAAUUUUAAGUAAUUAUAUAACAUUAUUUAAAAAUACUUUACACUAUCUCAUCCCCUGUUGCAGUGCGGGAAAGGGCUUUUGCACAGAGCAGAUGUUUGAAACUGGUCAAAAAAAUCUUCUAUGUUACUAUUAAACUUUACUUGCAUGAUCAAAUCGCUAUUGUCUUUGUUAUAAAUGCAAGUGGUGCUCACUUAUAUUGCUGCCUAUAAUAACACCAACAGGAUAAAAAGCUGGUCACAUAAUAGACUGAGGGGUCAAACUAAAAGCUGUUAACCAUACUCUAUGUGCAAAGCUAAAGUGGAGUCUGAAUGUUAUCUGACUGGUGCUGUCAUGUUGCCUUGAUUAUUCUAAAUA
Molecule: long non-coding RNA, 1308 nt
Organism: Notothenia coriiceps (black rockcod)
Lineage: Eukaryota; Metazoa; Chordata; Actinopteri; Perciformes; Nototheniidae
Exons: 3
Source: RefSeq, a predicted model, not a curated record